UACGUAGGGUGCGAGCGUUGUCCGGAAUUAUUGGGCGUAAAGAGCUCGUAGGCGGUGUGUCGCGUCGGCCGUGAAAACUUGCAGCUUAACUGUGGGCGUGCGGUCGAUACGGGCAUCACUGGAGUUCGGCAGGGGAGACUGGUAUUCCUGGUGUAGCGGUGAAAUGCGCAGAUAUCAGGAGGAACACCGGUGGCGAAGGCGGGUCUCUGGGCCGAUACUGACGCUGAGGAGCGAAAGCGUGGGGAGCGAACAGG
RNAcentral lists this ribosomal RNA (254 nucleotides) under uncultured bacterium. Its description in RNAcentral is "partial 16S ribosomal RNA". It matches the Rfam family "Bacterial small subunit ribosomal RNA", at positions 524 to 776 of the family's 1533-position model. The record is from RNAcentral.